GUCCUAGCCCUAAACGAUCAGCACUUGUUGUGGGCCCUGUUUGGGGUCCGUGACGAAGCUAACGUGCUAAGUGCUGCGCCUGGGGAGUACGGUCGCAAGACUGAAACUCAAAGGAAUUGACGGGGGCCCGCACAAGCGGUGGAACAUGUGGUUCAAUUCGACGCAACGCGAAGAACCUUACCUGGGCUUGAACCGCGCACGACCAGCCGUGGAAACAUGGCCUUCCCGCAAGGGACGUGCGUAGAGGUGCUGCAUGGCUGUCGU
This 264-nucleotide ribosomal RNA is filed under the name uncultured bacterium. RNAcentral describes it as "partial 16S ribosomal RNA". It matches the Rfam family "Bacterial small subunit ribosomal RNA", at positions 793 to 1055 of the family's 1533-position model. The record is from RNAcentral.